GGACGCAGCAGUGGGGGAUAUUGCACAAUGGGGGAAACCCUGAUGCAGCGACGCCGCGUGAGCGAUGAAGUAUUUCGGUAUGUAAAGCUCUAUCAGCAGGGAAGAAAAUGACGGUACCUGACUAAGAAGCCCCGGCUAACUACGUGCCAGCAGCCGCGGUAAUACGUAGGGGGCAAGCGUUACCCGGAUUUACUGGGUGUAAAGGGAGCGUAGACGGCGGCGCAAGCCAGAUGUGAAAGCCCGGGGCUCAACCCCGGGACUGCAUUUGGAACUGUGCCGCUAGAGUGUCGGAGAGGCAGGCGGAG
Molecule: ribosomal RNA, 305 nt
Filed under: uncultured bacterium
Lineage: Bacteria
Description: bacterial SSU rRNA
Rfam family: Bacterial small subunit ribosomal RNA
Source: RNAcentral